This 305-nucleotide ribosomal RNA is filed under the name uncultured bacterium. RNAcentral's name for it is "bacterial SSU rRNA". It matches the Rfam family "Bacterial small subunit ribosomal RNA", at positions 336 to 638 of the family's 1533-position model. The record is from RNAcentral.
UUCCUACGGGGGGCAGCAGUGAGGAAUAUUGGUCAAUGGCCGGAAGGCUGAACCAGCCAAGCCGCGUGAAGGACGAAGGUGCCAAGCAUUGUAAACUUCUUUUGUCAAGGGACAAAAUCAGGCUCGAGAGCCUGACCGAGGGUACUUGAAGAAAAAGCAUCGGCUAACUCCGUGCCAGCAGCCGCGGUAAUACGGAGGGCGCGAGCGUUAAUCGGAAUUACUGGGCGUAAAGCGCGCGUAGGCUGUUGUGUAAGUUGGGGGUGAAAUCCCACGGCUCAACCGUGGAACAGCCCUUGAUACUGCGG